UACAGAGGUGGCGAGCGUUGUCCGGAUUCAUUGGGCGUAAAGCGCGCGCAGGCGGCUCGGAAAGUCGGGUGUGAAAACUCGGGGCUCAACCCCGGGCGUGCAUCCGAUACUGCCGGGCUUGAGGCAGGUAGGGGAGAUCGGAAUUCCUGGUGUAGCGGUGAAAUGCGCAGAUAUCAGGAGGAACACCGGUGGCGAAGGCGGAUCUCUGGGCCUGUCCUGACGCUGAGGCGCGAAAGCUAGGGGAGCGAACAGG
This 253-nucleotide ribosomal RNA is filed under the name uncultured bacterium. RNAcentral describes it as "partial 16S ribosomal RNA". It matches the Rfam family "Bacterial small subunit ribosomal RNA", at positions 524 to 776 of the family's 1533-position model. The record is from RNAcentral.